CACUGCUUCACCUGAGGAACUGUACACCACGACAGACAGACAGAAGAUUUCUAUAGACAAACUGAGAUGUCAGCCAUCAUGUUUCACGUUUUUCUUGCACUAUGCUUGACGGUUUUAGUAUCGGCUGACGAGGAUCGUAAAACCCCCGCUCCCCCCACCCCCAAACCUGGAUGUCUCCGUGCCAGUGACUGCCCAAGCGGAAACUGUUGUGUACUCAACAAGACAAUCAACCGUGGCGCGUGUAAACCUCUGCAGGCGUCCAGACAAACAUGCUACUGGAAGCAGGUGAACCCACGCCCUGACCCCCAGGCUAUUGUGACCAGCUAUGACCUCUGUCCGUGUGGUUUUGGCACUUCCUGUUCCAGACUUGAGGGCAAAAGUCAUCCAACAUACGGACCUUUAGGUAUUUGUACUUGGGACUAAAUCAACCACCGAAGUCAACCAGCAAUGGAUUCAAUGGAGUGAGAAGAGAAUUUGAUACAACAAAAAAAGUGAGAAGAGAAUUUGAUACAACAAAAAAAGUGAGAAGAGAAUUUGAUACAACAAAAAAAAGUGAGAAGAGAAUUUGAUACAACAAAAAAAAGUGAGAAGAGAAUUUGAUACAACAAAAAAAGUGAGAAGAGAAUUUGAUACAACAAAAAAAGUGAGAAGAGAAUUUGAUACAACAAAAAAAAGUGAGAAGAGAAUUUGAUACAACAAAAAAAAGUGAGAAGAGAAUUUGAUACAACAAAAAAAGUGAGAAGAGAAUUUGAUACAACAAAAAAAGUGAGAAGAGAAUUUGAUACAACAAAAUUUGAUGCAAGAAUAAAAGUUUACACAAACAGACGUAAACACAUGAACACAACACCUGUGUACAGAUACCUGUGUACACACCACAUAUGUUCAAGUUGUAAUAAAAUGCCAUGCUUUGUUUACAAACAGUUCAAAUAAAUAAA
Physella acuta is the source of this 935-nucleotide RNA transcript. It is a transcript of the gene named venom protein 164-like, with no coding region annotated. The record is from RefSeq and is a predicted model, not a curated record. NCBI's taxonomy places the organism in Eukaryota, Metazoa, Mollusca, Gastropoda, Physidae.